RNAcentral lists this long non-coding RNA (915 nucleotides) under Monodelphis domestica (gray short-tailed opossum). Its description in RNAcentral is "lncRNA (ENSMODG00000036215.2)". The record is from RNAcentral. Lineage: Eukaryota; Metazoa; Chordata; Mammalia; Didelphimorphia; Didelphidae.
AUUGGAGCGAUUUGCCAUUUCCUUCUCCAGCUUAUUUUAUAGAUGAGAAAACUGAGGCAAACAGGAUUCAAUGACUUGUCACAGCUAGUAAGUGUCUGAAGCAGUAUUUGAACUCACAAAGAUGAGACUUCCUGACUCAGGACCCAGCACUCUAUCCACUAUGCCACCUAGCUGCUCAUCCUAAUUUUGAAAAUUGGGAUUCUUCAGCUUGGAAAGAUAAUAAAAUCCAUUGGAAGGAUAAACAGAUGAGGAAAUCGAGGCAAACAGAGUUAAAUGACUUGGCCACGCAGCUAGUGUCAAAGACCAGAUUUGAAUUCAUGAAGAUGAAUCUUCCUGGUUCCAAGUCCAGUGCUCUAAACACUGUACCAUCUAGCUGCCCAUAGCUAAAUAAACUCAGAGUUGGGACAUGUGAGAGACAAUCACAUGGGAGCCCCGGUCAAGAUACUAAGGAACCAACUGAAAAAAACAGACUCCUUGGGGAAGCUUUGGGAGUUAGCUGUGAUCCAUCUUUUCUACAAGUUUUCUGGCCUUUUCUGAGAUACCAGCUUGAGAGGAGAAAUACUGCUUUUACUGGCUUCUGGCAGCUGGACAGAAGACCCAAGAAGAACCAUCACUUCUCUGCUGGACCUACUUUGGACUUUACCUCUGGGAUCUUGGCUCACUUACUGGACUCAGCUUGUGAGGUUCUGUUUGGGGGAAAACUUAACUUAUUUAGCCAAGAUAAGUUAACCAUUUGGAUAUUAUUAAAGGAAUUUAGGUUUGGGGAUAAGAUUAAGAAAUUUUCCUUCUCCCUUUCCCAUCAAUAAACUUAAAAAUAUUUAGAUAUUUUCCCUUCUUGUCUCUUUCCUUUAAACAAUCUAAUAAUAACAAGAUAUAACUGAUAAAUAAAAACAUAAAAGACAUAUUUUAUAUACA